Molecule: ribosomal RNA, 631 nt
Filed under: uncultured Actinomycetes bacterium
Lineage: Bacteria; Bacillati; Actinomycetota; Actinomycetes
Description: bacterial SSU rRNA
Rfam family: Bacterial small subunit ribosomal RNA
Source: RNAcentral
CAGCUUGUUGGUGAGGUAACGGCUCACCAAGGUAACGACGGGUAGCUGGUCUGAGAGGACGAUCAGCCACACUGGGACUGAGACACGGCCCAGACUCCUACGGGAGGCAGCAGCAGGGAAUAUUGCGCAAUGGGCGAAAGCCUGACGCAGCGACGCCGCGUGGGGGAUGAAGGUUUUCGGAUUGUAAACCCCUUUCAGGAGGAAAGAAUUUGACGGUACCUCCAAAAGAAGCCCCGGCCAACUACGUGCCAGCAGCCGCGGUAAGACGUAGGGGGCGAGCGUUGUCCGGAAUCAUUGGGCGUAAAGGGCUCGUAGGCGGCUCGGUAAGUCGAUCGUGAAAUCCCGGAGCUCAACUCCGGAACUGCGGUCGAUACUGCCGUGGCUAGAGUCAGGUAGAGGAGAGUAGAAUUCCCGGUGUAGCGGUGGAAUGCGCAGAUAUCGGGAGGAAUACCAUUUAGCGAAGGCGGCUCUCUGGGCCUGUACUGACGCUGAGGAGCGAAAGCGUGGGUAGCAAACAGGAUUAGAUACCCUGGUAGUCCACGCCGUAAACGUUGGGCACUAGGCGUGGUGGCCUGACCAAGGGCUGCUGUGCCGACGCUAACGCAUUAAGUGCCCCGCCUGGGGAGUACGG